Molecule: ribosomal RNA, 369 nt
Filed under: uncultured Alphaproteobacteria bacterium
Lineage: Bacteria; Pseudomonadati; Pseudomonadota; Alphaproteobacteria
Description: bacterial SSU rRNA
Rfam family: Bacterial small subunit ribosomal RNA
Source: RNAcentral
UAGUGAGUUUGAUCCUGGCUCAGAACGAACGCUGGCGGCAGGCCUAACACAUGCAAGUCGAGCGCCCCGCAAGGGGGAGCGGCGGACGGGUGAGUAACGCGUGGGAACGUGCCCCUUUCUACGGAAUAGCCUCGGGAAACUGGGAGUAAUACCGGAUGUGCCCUUCGGGGGAAAGAUUUAUCGGCAAAGGAUCGGCCCGCGUUGGAUUAGCUAGUUGGUGAGGUAAAGGCUCACCAAGGCCACGAUCUGUAGCUGGUCUGAGAGGACGACCAGCCACACUGGGGACUGAGACACGGCCCAGACUCCUACGGGAGCAGCAGUGGGGAAUUUUGGACAAUGGGCGCAAGCCUGAUCCAGCAAUGCCGCGUG